Long non-coding RNA from Vidua chalybeata, 506 nucleotides. RefSeq lists it as uncharacterized. The record is from RefSeq and is a predicted model, not a curated record. The transcript is spliced from 3 exons. Lineage: Eukaryota; Metazoa; Chordata; Aves; Passeriformes; Viduidae.
AGCGCGGGCAGCAGCUGCAGCAGCAGCUCGUCCGUCAGCUCGGUGAAGCACAGCUCCACCGUGUCGAUGUGCUCCGAGCUGUGCUCCAGGAUCUGAGGACACCUCCUGAUGCUGAAAGAGUGAAUUCUCAGGGGAUAAAAGGAGCUCAAAUUAACCUCCAGCCAUGGGAUAUCCCUGAGAUCAAGGACUUUGUGGGAGGUCCCAAGUGGACCGGGCACUGCUGUGGCUGAGAACAUCCAAAGUCAUGAAAUUGCUGGAAUUUUCCCAACAAAAUCUACUCCAGUGGAAUAAGGAGCUGCAGCUGAUAGAACCAGGAUUUUGCAGGAGAGGCAAUUUGCACAAAUGCCCGGAAAAAAACAAUCAGCAAUUCAAAGGAAAACAUGUUGGGCUCCUUUCUUCUGAAAAUGACUCCCUGGAAGAGAAUUGGCCCGAAACAAGGAUUUGUGUUACAAUAAAUGAGAGUUUGCCAUAAAACAAACAGCAUUUUCUUCAGAUUCUAGCACAGG